Non-coding RNA from Dethiobacter alkaliphilus AHT 1, 147 nucleotides. Lineage: Bacteria; Bacillati; Bacillota; Dethiobacteria; Dethiobacterales; Dethiobacteraceae. The record is from Rfam.
AAUAAAUAACGUUUCAGGCUGUAGACAGCAGGUGCUCUUUUGGAGCUUAAGGAUUCGUCGCCUGCCGAGGUCGGAAAGUCAUCAUUUGUCUGAAAAGCUAUUGAUGGCCUCCGUGUGUCUGCGCGGAGGCCAUCUUUUGGUUUAUAC